AUACGGAGGGAGCGAGCGUUAAUCGGAAUUACUGGGCGUAAAGCGCGCGUAGGCGGCUUUGUAAGUCGGAUGUGAAAGCCCCGGGCUCAACCCGGGAACUGCGCUUAUUACUGAUAAACUAGAGUCCGGGAGAGGGUGGCGGAAUUCCCAGUGUAGAGGUGAAAUUCGUAGAUAUUGGGAAGAACACCAGUUGCGAAGGCGGCCACCUGGACCGGUACUGACGCUGAGGUGCGAAAGCGUGGGGAGCAAACAGGAUUAGAAACCCCGGUAGUCC
Molecule: ribosomal RNA, 274 nt
Filed under: uncultured bacterium
Lineage: Bacteria
Description: partial 16S ribosomal RNA
Rfam family: Bacterial small subunit ribosomal RNA
Source: RNAcentral